GAAAUGCGAUAAGUAAUGUGAAUUGCAGAAUUCAGUGAAUCAUCGAAUCUUUGAACGCACAUUGCGCCCGCCGGUAUUCCGGCGGGCAUGCCUGUUCGAGCGUCAUUUCAACCCUCAAGCUCCGGCUUGGUGUUGGGGCGCCCGGGCCCCACCAGCGGCCCGGGGCCCCCAAGUUCAUCGGCGGGCUCGUCGGAACACUGAGCGCAGUACAACGCGGUAGAACGCGCCCUCGCUCGGCCCGUCCCGGCGCGCUUCCCAGCCGCUAAACCCCCAAAAUUACCACAAGGUUGACCUCGGAUCAGGUAGGAAUACCCGCUGAACUUAA
RNAcentral lists this unclassified non-coding RNA (325 nucleotides) under uncultured Magnaporthales. RNAcentral describes it as "sequence contains ITS1". The stretch from base 1 to 105 matches the Rfam family "5.8S ribosomal RNA", at positions 50 to 154 of the family's 154-position model. The record is from RNAcentral. Lineage: Eukaryota; Fungi; Ascomycota; Sordariomycetes; Magnaporthales.